GCUUCAUCUGAAGUUUCUCCUCUUUGUUAGGCUUCUGCGACUUGAAUGUGAGAGAAACACUGCAAUUUGUGAUUUAAUCUCAAAUCCUCCCAUCACCUGAUCAAAAGGCUCUACCAUCAGGAUGAGGAGCUUUCAGAGAUAGUUUCUCAAAGAACUAGCCAGUUGUUUCAAAUAAAACAAAAGAAUCUGUCACUUAGUACAUGUUUCUGGUGUAACAGGAAACAUGAUGUGGUUAGGAGGGAGCUAGGCACUUUCGGUGGGAAAGUCCUGGCUGUCUCUCUCCUGUGCUCCUUGGGACCCGGAAAGGACAGGGAGGGCCUGAGAGCCGGGGGCAGCAGAAACAGAAGCGGAGAUGUAUCUGUUCACGUUUCUCAUCGCUGAGAAGCCCUUACUGAAGGAGCUGAGGGAGGGUGAGUUCUCAACAGAGAAGCUGUGUCAGAGAGAAACACUGAGAGCCUUCGUACCCAAGAAGCCUGAAGCCCACGCAGACAUGACAAGGAAAAAGAGCAACAACCAGAGGUGGGGGUUAGUGCCUGAGGUACUAGCGGCAACAGAUGGGACUGGUGAGGAAAAACAAGCAGCAACGACUAGUGAACUUGAAGGUGUAGAGGAGAAGGCGCAGUGGCACAGGAGGGCAGGACAGCUGUCUGGGGAACAACAGAACACUCUGAAGUGUGGAAUGAUCUGCUUCUCACCAUAACCGGGAAGCUUCCCAAACUCAGACCAAACCUGGCAAACAGUGCAAGUCAUUGAACAACAACAUGAUGACAAUCUUCAUCAAACAAGAAGUCAGACAUGCCCCAGAGUGUAACUGAUUUACAAAAUCUCUGCUGCAGAUUGUCAUGAGGAAUGGUAAUCCUUAUUACACCAUCUCCAGGCAUCUCCAACCAGUCACUGAGACUGACUAGAGUGCAAUCGAAUGGAAAGCACCACCUGCCAACCGUGUGGCCUCAAGAUCAUCAGAUGAACAAGGAGAAUCUACAUCAGGGGUCCUCAAACUUUUUAAACAGGGGGCCAGUUCACUGUCCCUCAGACCAUUGGAGGGCCGGACUAUAGUUUUUAAAAAAACUAUGAACAAAUUCCUAUGCACACUGCACAUAUCUUAUUUUGAAGUAAAAAAACAAAACAGGAACAAACACAAUAUUUGUAUUUGCAUGUGGCCCGUGGGCCAUAGUUUGAGGACCCCUGAUCUACAUGAUCAUGUGAUGAAACAUUAUUUUUCUUGACCUUGAUCAGGGCCUCAAUUUCUUCUUGUUUUCUUUUCUCUGUAUGUAUUAAUCAUACACUUAGAAAACCAAGUAAAAAAACAAAACAAAAACUCUACAGAUGAAGUGGCAAUCACUAGCACUGAGGGAAAAGAGGAAAGAUGUCCGAGAGGUUUAAGCAGUGACAGGUUUCAUGUAUAUCCCCAGGGGCAGGGGCAAGGACAGAAGUGAAUGGUACUAUGAGGAGCGCACCUACCCCAGCAGCCAUUCACUCACAGAUCAGAAGUAUUUCAAUAUUUUUUGCAACUGAAUAUCAGUACCAGGGGGUUCCAGGCUGCCCAUCAGGCCUGAGAGGAAGUAUUUUCUAUAUGGUUCUAAAAUGGAUCUAUUCACCAAUGAUGCAAGUACAUAUGGCAAGCUUGCUCCUAGAGAAUUUCUCCUAAAAUUACAUAUUUUUAUAUUUAAACUAUUACUGAUACUAUCUUUAUGUGUAAAAGAGUGUCCUUUUAAAAAUCAACCUUGCUAUGUAUGUUAAGAGGUUCAUUUCAAAGUGAAAUUUUUUAAAAAAAAUGCAUUAGACACCCUCAAUAAGCUAAUCCUUUCCCAUCUGGCUGAGAUUCCAGCGUGUUUGGCUUCAGCUUGCUCAGGGAAACAGAACAGGUUCCCAGAACAAUAUGUUGCUAGGAGACUGUCCAAGCUUAUUUAUCUUGUGCUGUGGGGUGAUAUUGAGCAUCCACCUGUGAUUGGCACGAAGUAAAAGCGGCGAAAGGGCAGAGGAGGAAGAGACACAAGAGUUGAUAGGAAACUUCUGUUAUUUAUGACACAGAGAAAAUGGACAGUUACAGUUUUCUAAAACUAUAUUCCACGAUAAAAUUAAUUUUAUUUUAGUGACUGUCAUACUGAGUUUGAAAAUUUUCUCAUUAGAGAAAGGAAUUUUAAAAAUGCCUUUAGUAUGUAGGCUUAAUUAAAGGAACACAAAGUCAUCCAGAAUUAUUACAAUUACCCCAAGAGCAGUGUAGGUAUCUCUCUCCUUAAUUUAAAUAAAUUUAAUGCAAGUGUGCACUUGAGGAGUAUGUUGAAUAAGAAACACCAGUUUUUUUAGAUGUCUACCUAAUCGGGGUCCUGUUCCACUAACCAUCCAUGCUCUGCCUGUCCAAUACCUCCAAUUUGGCUAAAUUCAGAAAAUGUCCUUAAAGAAUUCACAAUUGCUUGUAAGUGCAACUGAUAAUGAGAACUUACAACUUCAAAAUGGUUAUAUGUAGGAUUUGGAGGUUAAACAGGCUUGCACUGGAAACCCUGUUCUGUCAAAUAUUAGAUAUGUAAUUUUAUAAGCAAAUCAUUUAAACCUCCUACUGGAAACUUCAAUUCCUUUUUUAAAAAUGGAGGUAACACAAAUGACACCUACAAUGACCAUCUCCUUUUAGUGAGCACAUAAUGCACGCCCCAGCACUGAAAUAAGCACUUAAUCCACUUUAUGUUGCCUUAGCCUCACAAAGUUGAGCUUGGUUUACCAAACCCAUUCCACAACAUGAGCACUUUGAGAAAGGCCAAGUAACAUGCACAGGGACCACAGUAAUGACUAGCCCAACAGGCCUUUCUUAACUGCAAUGCUCCCUGCCUGUCACCCAGCCAGCACACAGAUUCAACCCUGGGGCCCUUGCUAAGCCUCAUCAGUAGCUGGCUGCAACCAAAGAACUAAUCAACAGCAAGAUGAUGGAGAUGUUAUUUUAACACCUGACUGGGAGAUAAUGCACGUAAGAUAAGUCAUAUUACCCAGCAUAAAGUAGGAGUUCAGAAAAAUAUAACACCCUCCCCCUGAACUUUCUGGGCAAGCUAGAAAAAAGGAGUACGUCACACAGACCCUGGGGUGGCUGCACCAGGAAUUUAACUCUGGGAGAAGCCUGCUUAAAAUUCCAUACAGUAUUAAGAGGGGGAAGAUUGAAAUGAUAUAUUUUCCCCCUCUUCCAGCCUUGUGAAAACAAGUAUUGAGGCUUAAAGCACCCAGGAGAUUUACAGCUUAAAGCAAAUCACCUUACAUUAUGGACUCAGUCCUGCUCAGAUGGAACUGUUUUUGAGGCCAAUGGCUUCACGGAGAAUGCCCUCUUCUCUAUUGUUUCCUACACUUCUUUAGGAUUUCUCUCUGUCCCCACUGCUUCAUGUUCUGUGUGUACAGAUAAUCUGGGUCCUCUCUUCCCCCACAUGCAACAGUUGUGGCUGGAUCACAAGCAUUCCUCCUAUUGGUUUUCAAAUCUGUUUUUCUCAGAUUCUUUGCACAAGACAGAGAAAGACAUUUUGUCUCUUCUUCUUAUAAGCAAGAAAAGUUCUUCUCAUUGGUUAUCUUCAAUUUUAGGUAGACUUACGGAAAUUUUUUCCCUUUGGGAAAAAUUCAGAAAACAAUCAUAUCUUAAGUUGGUAUGCUAUUACUUCUUUUAUUUUUGGGGGGAGGUGCUCAAAAUCCACUGUAAUAUCUCAAGUAAAAUUCCACUUCUCAAUGAGUCUUUGGUUAGAAAUGUACCACUUACAUUUUUAGUAUAGUGUUUGAAAAGUAGAAUGACUACUAAGUACUAAAAAAUAAGAUUGUAAGAUAGUAAAUAAUACACUAAAUCUGGUUACAUGUUGAAUAGCAUUGGUUUGAUUCCAGGGAGUAGAUUAACCAGAUGUAGUCCCAAAACUGGGCCAUGGAAAGCUGAUACAGCUAUACAUUCAGAGCGAGCUAAUCAAGCUUAUUUAAAACUAGACAAUGAGACAGGACAGAAAGAGGACAGGGGAGCCAAGUAGGACUCUGUUCUUUAUCACCAUCAAGUGCUCCGUUCAUUAUAGUGGUGCUGGCCUUUCCACACGGGAUGCUAAGAAACCUGAAGUAAUACUUUACGCUCGUUGCUGCUGGCAAUUAGAUCAAAAGCAAAUACAUAGCUCAUGCUCAUGGUAGGUAGAAGGCUACAGACAUUUAUGCUAUAGGAAAUUUCAUUCAAGACUAAUAUGCUGAAAAGUAGCUCUAUAAAACAAUCUGAGUCUUUAGAAUCAACUUUACUAGUACAGAAAUCUGAGAAGGAUAAAUGGUGGGAAAGAAAGAGGAGGAGAGCCCUUUACUGUGUUCUGUUCAUCUAUCUACCUUGAAGCAGUGGUUCUCAACCUUCCUAAUGCCGCGACCCUUUAAUACAGUUCCUCAUGUUGUGGUGACCCCCCAACCAUAAAAUUAUUUUCGUUGCUAUUUCAUAAGUGUAAUUUUGCUAGUGUUAUGAAUCAUAAUGUAAAUAUCUGAUAUGCAGGAUGCAUUUUCAU
Molecule: long non-coding RNA, 4487 nt
Organism: Myotis daubentonii (Daubenton's bat)
Lineage: Eukaryota; Metazoa; Chordata; Mammalia; Chiroptera; Vespertilionidae
Exons: 3
Source: RefSeq, a predicted model, not a curated record